Molecule: ribosomal RNA, 1501 nt
Filed under: Candidatus Beckwithbacteria bacterium RIFCSPLOWO2_02_FULL_49_12
Lineage: Bacteria; Candidatus Beckwithiibacteriota
Description: bacterial SSU rRNA
Rfam family: Bacterial small subunit ribosomal RNA
Source: RNAcentral
UUUUUGAGAGUUUGAUCCUAGCUCAGGAUAAACGCUGGCGGCGUGCCUUAGGCAUGCAAGUCGAAUGCAGACGCAAGUCGUGCAUGGCAGACGGGUGAGUAACGCGUAGGAAUCUACCCCUUGGUGUGGAAUAACCCCGAGAAAUCGGGGAUAAUACCGCAUAAGUUCUCCGGAAGAAAGGCCAUAACUGGCCGCCGAGGGAGGAGCCUGCGUCCUAUCAGCUUGUUGGUGAGGUAAUGGCUCACCAAGGCUAUAACGGGUAGGGGGCGUGAGAGCGUGUCCCCCCACAAGGUCACUGAGACACGGGGCCUACACCUACGGGUGGCAGCAACUAGGAAUUUUGCGCAAUGGGCGAAAGCCUGACGCAGCGACGCCGCGUGCGGGAUGACGGCCUUUUUGGUUGUAAACCGCUGUGGAGAGGGAAGAUAAUGACGGUACCUCUCUAGAAANNNNNNNNNNNNNNNNNNNNNNNGCACCUGCUAACUACGUGCCAGAAGCCUCGGUGAUACGUAGGGUGCAAGCGUUAUCCGGAUUUACUGGGCGUAAAGAGUAUCGUAGGCGGCUGAAUAAGUGAUUGGUGAAAUCCUUGGGCUCAACCCAAGAACUGCCAGUCAUACUGUUUAGCUAGAGUGACUUCGGAAAGGUUGGAAUUCUCGGUGUAGGGGUGAAAUCCGUUGAUAUCGAGAGGAACACCAAGGGCGAAGGCAGGCCUUUAGGAGUCUACUGACGCUGAUGAACGAAAGCUUGGGUAGCGAACCGGAUUAGAGACCCGGGUAGUCCAAGCCGUAAACGAUGCCCACUAGAUGGCCCCCGCUUUGCGGGGACUGUCGCAAGCUAACGCGUUAAGUGGGCCGCCUGGGGAGUACGGCCGCAAGGCUAAAACUCAAAGGAAUUGACGGGGAAAUGCACAACCAGGGGAGCAUGUGGUUUAAUUCGAUACAAAGCGAUGAACCUUACCUGGGCUUGACAUCUAUUUGACAACUCUAAGAAAUUAGGGUUUUCCGCAAGGACAGAUAGACAGCUGCUGCAUGGUUGUCGUCAGCUCGUACCGUGAGGCGUCGGCUUAAGUGCCGUAACGAGCGCAACCCCCACUGCAUGUUGCAUAUCAUGCGGGACUGCCUUGCUAGAAGCAGGGAGGAAGGAGGGGAUGAUGUCAAAUCAGCACGGCGCUUACGUCCAGGGCAACACACAUCCUACAAUGGCGAGGGACAGCGGGUUGCGAAGCCGCAAGGCGGAGCUAAUCCUUCAAACCCUCCCUCAGUUCGGAUUGUGGGCUGCAACUCGCCCACAUGAAGUUGGACUUGGUAGUAAUCGCGGAUCAGCAGACCGCGGUGAAUGCGUUCCCAUUUCUUGUACACACCGCCCGUCACAUGAGGAAAGUCGGCAGCGCCCGAAGCAGUCCCGCUUGCGGGACGACUAAGGUGAGGUCGGCGAUCAGCGUGAAGUCGUAACAAGGUAUCCGUUCUGGAAGGAGCGGAUGGAUCACCUCCUUUCUAAGGAG